GGCCAGUUAGCUCAGUGGUUUGAGCACGGUGCUGGCAACACCGAGGUCGCAGGUUCAAUUCCCUCUGGGUCC
RNAcentral lists this transfer RNA (72 nucleotides) under Apaloderma vittatum (bar-tailed trogon). It matches the Rfam family "tRNA". From Rfam's summary of the family: Transfer RNA (tRNA) molecules are approximately 80 nucleotides in length. Their secondary structure includes four short double-helical elements and three loops (D, anti-codon, and T loops). Lineage: Eukaryota; Metazoa; Chordata; Aves; Trogoniformes; Trogonidae. The record is from Rfam by way of RNAcentral.